UACGAAGGGGGCUAGCGUUGUUCGGAAUUACUGGGCGUAAAGGGCGCGUAGGCGGCCAGCACAAGUCAGUUGUGAAAUCUCCGGGCUUAACUCGGAAAGGUCAACUGAUACUGUGCGACUAGAGUGCAGAAGGGGCAACUGGAAUUCUCGGUGUAGCGGUGAAAUGCGUAGAUAUCGAGAGGAACACCUGCGGCGAAGGCGGGUUGCUGGGCUGACACUGACGCUGAGGCGCGAAAGCCAGGGGAGCGAACGGG
Molecule: ribosomal RNA, 254 nt
Filed under: uncultured bacterium
Lineage: Bacteria
Description: partial 16S ribosomal RNA
Rfam family: Bacterial small subunit ribosomal RNA
Source: RNAcentral